RNAcentral lists this ribosomal RNA (531 nucleotides) under uncultured Methanomicrobiales archaeon. Its description in RNAcentral is "bacterial SSU rRNA". It matches the Rfam family "Archaeal small subunit ribosomal RNA", at positions 339 to 875 of the family's 1478-position model. Lineage: Archaea; Methanobacteriati; Methanobacteriota; Methanomicrobia; Methanomicrobiales. The record is from RNAcentral.
GCGCGAAAACUUUACAAUGCGAGAAAUCGUGAUAAGGGAACCCCGAGUGCCCGUAAAUUCGGGCUGUCCGUCAGUGUAAAUAGCUGGUGAAGAAAGGGCCGGGCAAGACCGGUGCCAGCCGCCGCGGUAAUACCGGCGGCUCGAGUGGUGGCCACUAUUACUGGGCUUAAAGCGUCCGUAGCUUGAUUGUUAAGUCUCUUGGGAAAUCCACCGGCUCAACCGAUGGGCGUUCAGGAGAAACUGGCAAUCUAGGGACCGGGAGAGGUGAGAGGUACUCCAGGGGUAGGAGUGAAAUCUUGUAAUCCUUGGGGGACCACCUGUGGCGAAGGCGUCUCACUAGAACGGCUCCGACAGUGAGGGACGAAAGCUGGGGGAGCAAACCGGAUUAGAUACCCGGGUAGUCCCAGCCGUAAACGAUGCGCGUUAGGUGUAUCGGUGACCACGAGUCAUCGAGGUGCCGAAGGGAACCGUGAAACGUGCCGCCUGGGAAGUACGGUCGCAAGGCUGAAACUUAAAGGAAUUGGCGGGGGA